GAUGAACGCUGGCGGCGUGCCUAAUACAUGCAAGUCGAGCGAACAGACGAGGAGCUUGCUCCUCUGACGUUAGCGGCGGACGGGUGAGUAACACGUGGAUAACCUACCUAUAAGACUGGGAUAACUUCGGGAAACCGGAGCUAAUACCGGAUAAUAUAUUGAACCGCAUGGUUCAAUAGUGAAAGACGGUUUUGCUGUCACUUAUAGAUGGAUCCGCGCCGCAUUAGCUAGUUGGUAAGGUAACGGCUUACCAAGGCAACGAUGCGUAGCCGACCUGAGAGGGUGAUCAGCCACACUGGAACUGAGACACGGUCCAGACUCCUACGUGAGGCAGCAGUAGGGAAUAUUCCGCAAUGGGCGAAAGCCUGACGGAGCAACGCCGCGUGAGUGAUGAAGGUCUUCGGAUCGUAAAACUCUGUUAUUAGGGAAGAACAAAUGUGUAAGUAACUAUGCACGUCUUGACGGUACCUAAUCAGAAAGCAACGGCUAACUACGUG
RNAcentral lists this ribosomal RNA (497 nucleotides) under uncultured bacterium. RNAcentral's name for it is "partial 16S ribosomal RNA". It matches the Rfam family "Bacterial small subunit ribosomal RNA", at positions 28 to 507 of the family's 1533-position model. The record is from RNAcentral.